UUGUUGCAAAAUAAUAAAAAAAAAAUGCAGGAAACACAGAGGAAUAUUUAUUUUAUUUUUGGCAAAACAACAUAAAGUAUCAGAACUUAAUCAGAGCAGAAAAUCUGUUAGAAGAACAAGUAGAGACAAAGAGAGGAGAGAGACCUCAAAAAGAAGAAGAAUAGUGAAAUGCAGAUAAAAAGUUGUAUACUACUAACAGGAGUCAAUAGGAAAUUGCUACACAUGCACAAGUAACUGUGUACAGCUGGUAUCCGAAUAGCACAACAUGUACGUCAGGGCUUGUAUAUCGGCAAGAGAAGUGUGUCCCCUGUCCACCCAGGACGUACUGGCUGAUGAAGCAAGGCAGGGCUCUGUGUGAGCGCUGUACGGAAGUUUGCUCAGGUCGGCGUCACCUGAAGGAGGUGAAACCCUGUAAAACCAGCUCCAAUCGUGAGUGCCACUGUGAUGCAGGCUUCUUCUGCGCCAGCACUGCACAGUAUACCUGCAGGAGGUGUUUGCCAUGCCCCCCUGGCACCUUCUCCAGCUCUCCAUCCCGUAACAGGUUCUGCCAGUCCCACUCAGAGUGUACUAGUGCGGACAUGGUGGUGGUUAUAGAGGGCACUGCAACCUAUGACCAAGUCUGUGGUUCUACCGCAACAAGACCUCAGGAUCUUAUCCAGGGCAACAGAACCAAGAAUGUCAGAUAGCAGUAUUAAUAGAGUAAGGCGGCAUCAGAAGGAAAGGCGAGAAAACCAAACAACUCCAAGACCAAGCAACGCAACUCCCCCACUCCCUGAAUAUGGCAGAUUACAGCGAGCUUUACUGUGAAAAACAUUUUUAUAAUGAAAUUGAAACCCUGUAAUGUACCAGGAAAACUGGUAUCCUCGCUGUUCUACUCCUAUAUAUACAGUGGCUAGCAAAAGUAAUCAACACAUUUACAUAAAUUACAAAUUGAUACAUUUCCGCAUGGCUGAACGGGUUGAGCGGGCGGCUGUGUCCUCCGGUCUUCUCUUUUGUUCACUGAUUUUUGCCUGUGUUUUAGAUCCUUCAUGAUCCCUUUUGUUUCUAGUUUUGUUUUACUUAAAAUAAAGUCCCUUGGUUUAUUCCAGCCCCUUCGUCCUCCACCAUGCCCAUCCAGGACGGUCAAAUCAUUUCUCUCAUGUGAAGUAUUAUCAAUCAAUAAAAUGUAACUUUCCCUCAGACAAA
This is an RNA transcript of Brienomyrus brachyistius, 1185 nucleotides long. It is a transcript of the gene named tumor necrosis factor receptor superfamily member 6B-like, with no coding region annotated. The record is from RefSeq and is a predicted model, not a curated record. Lineage: Eukaryota; Metazoa; Chordata; Actinopteri; Osteoglossiformes; Mormyridae. The transcript is spliced from 5 exons.